Molecule: ribosomal RNA, 371 nt
Filed under: uncultured organism
Description: partial 16S ribosomal RNA
Rfam family: Bacterial small subunit ribosomal RNA
Source: RNAcentral
GUAGGUGGCAAGCGUUGUCCGGAAUUAUUGGGCGUAAAGCGCGCGCAGGCGGUUCUUUAAGUCUGAUGUGAAAGCCCACGGCUCAACCGUGGAGGGUCAUUGGAAACUGGAGAACUUGAGUACAGAAGAGGAAAGCGGAAUUCCAUGUGUAGCGGUGAAAUGCGUAGAGAUGUGGAGGAACACCAGUGGCGAAGGCGGCUUUCUGGUCUGUAACUGACGCUGAGGCGCGAAAGCGUGGGGGAGCAAACAGGAUUAGAUACCCUGGUAGUCCACGCCGUAAACGAUGAGUGCUAAGUGUUAGGGGGUUUCCGCCCCUUAGCGCUGCAGCUAACGCAUUAAGCACUCCGCCUGGGAGUACGGCCGCAAGGCUG